Molecule: long non-coding RNA, 649 nt
Filed under: Betta splendens (Siamese fighting fish)
Lineage: Eukaryota; Metazoa; Chordata; Actinopteri; Anabantiformes; Osphronemidae
Description: lncRNA (ENSBSLG00000019133.1)
Source: RNAcentral
AGGUGUGGGGCCUCUCUCAGACCACAUCUCUGGAAAUUAGGAAAUUAAUAAUAGAACAUGGCUGGGCCUUAUUACAGAAUCACAGCGUAACCACAGGGAUUUAUUUGUAUUUCCUUUCAGUAUCUAUCUCUGACUUGGACAGAGAGACACACGGUGAGACGCAGAGAGAAAGAACCGACAGAUCAUUGAGGGAAUAUGGCAGCGACUCCUGUGCUACGCUAAUGAACCCUGACGUACAGUAGCUGACCUCCCCGGGCUCCAGAGAGUGUCAGCGGCCAUGCUCACUGCAGCCAAUUACGCCUGACCCAGAACGGAGACACACAUGGUUACAAUGGAGCAGUGGGAGCACCAGUGAUGUGAAGCUCUACUUCACCUCCCCCCCAGCGGUCCCCGGGGAUCCCAUCCCGCCCACUGUCUCCCAUGGAUACCUCAGCUCGCCCUCUUAUCGCUGUGGAGACCCAGCUAACCGCUUGCUCCCAUCAGUUACUGAGCUGGAUCCUCAUUCCACACAUCAGAAGCGGAUGCCAUCCCAUCUGAGCCUACAAGAUAACUGCCUUGGAUUCUCAACGUGGACACAUUUCCAACAAGAACCCUUAAAUUAGAGCAUCUUCUGUUACAUCCACAACUGCCAGGAACUACGCAAGGUCAG